Molecule: long non-coding RNA, 201 nt
Filed under: Gallus gallus (chicken)
Lineage: Eukaryota; Metazoa; Chordata; Aves; Galliformes; Phasianidae
Description: long non-coding RNA NONGGAT006823
Source: RNAcentral
AGGACUUCCUUGCAUUUCUGUAUGCAGGGUCGCUACUGAAGCAACAAAUGGAGCCAGAAGGAUUAAGGUCAAGCACAGCAUACUGUGGACCACAAUACACUUUGAACAUCAGGACUGUACUGAUGGAACUGAACCCCAAGGAAAUGUAGAUGUGGCAAGAGUGCUUUGAAGAAAUUCCAGUUGCUGCUGGGAGUGGCCAAA